GCUCAGGACGAACGCUGGCGGCGUGCCUAAUACAUGCAAGUCGAACGAACUCUGGUAUUGAUUGGUGCUUGCAUCAUGAUUUACAUUUGAGUGAGUGGCGAACUGGUGAGUAACACGUGGGAAACCUGCCCAGAAGCGGGGGAUAACACCUGGAAACAGAUGCUAAUACCGCAUAACAACUUGGACCGCAUGGUCCGAGCUUGAAAGAUGGCUUCGGCUAUCACUUUUGGAUGGUCCCGCGGCGUAUUAGCUAGAUGGUGGGGUAACGGCUCACCAUGGCAAUGAUACGUAGCCGACCUGAGAGGGUAAUCGGCCACAUUGGGACUGAGACACGGCCCAAACUCCUACGGGAGGCAGCAGUAGGGAAUCUUCCACAAUGGACGAAAGUCUGAUGGAGCAACGCCGCGUGAGUGAAGAAGGGUUUCGGCUCGUAAAACUCUGUUGUUAAAGAAGAACAUAUCUGAGAGUAACUGUUCAGGUAUUGACGGUAUUUAACCAGAAAGCCACGGCUAACUACGUGCCAGCAGCCGCGGUAAUACGUAGGUGGCAAGCGUUGUCCGGAUUUAUUGGGCGUAAAGCGAGCGCAGGCGGUUUUUUAAGUCUGAUGUGAAAGCCUUCGGCUCAACCGAAGAAGUGCAUCGGAAACUGGGAAACUUGAGUGCAGAAGAGGACAGUGGAACUCCAUGUGUAGCGGUGAAAUGCGUAGAUAUAUGGAAGAACACCAGUGGCGAAGGCGGCUGUCUGGUCUGUAACUGACGCUGAGGCUCGAAAGUAUGGGUAGCAAACAGGAUUAGAUACCCUGGUAGUCCAUACCGUAAACGAUGAAUGCUAAGUGUUGGAGGGUUUCCGCCCUUCAGUGCUGCAGCUAACGCAUUAAGCAUUCCGCCUGGGGAGUACGGCCGCAAGGCUGAAACUCAAAGGAAUUGACGGGGGCCCGCACAAGCGGUGGAGCAUGUGGUUUAAUUCGAAGCUACGCGAAGAACCUUACCAGGUCUUGACAUACUAUGCAAAUCUAAGAGAUUAGACGUUCCCUUCGGGGACAUGGAUACAGGUGGUGCAUGGUUGUCGUCAGCUCGUGUCGUGAGAUGUUGGGUUAAGUCCCGCAACGAGCGCAACCCUUAUUAUCAGUUGCCAGCAUUAAGUUGGGCACUCUGGUGAGACUGCCGGUGACAAACCGGAGGAAGGUGGGGAUGACGUCAAAUCAUCAUGCCCCUUAUGACCUGGGCUACACACGUGCUACAAUGGAUGGUACAACGAGUUGCGAACUCGCGAGAGUAAGCUAAUCUCUUAAAGCCAUUCUCAGUUCGGAUUGUAGGCUGCAACUCGCCUACAUGAAGUCGGAAUCGCUAGUAAUCGCGGAUCAGCAUGCCGCGGUGAAUACGUUCCCGGGCCUUGUACACACCGCCCGUCACACCAUGAGAGUUUGUAACACCCAAAGUCGGUGGGGUAACCUUUUAGGAACCAGCCGCCUAAGGUGGGACAGAUGAUUAGGG
RNAcentral lists this ribosomal RNA (1493 nucleotides) under Lactiplantibacillus plantarum. RNAcentral describes it as "Lactobacillus plantarum partial 16S ribosomal RNA". It matches the Rfam family "Bacterial small subunit ribosomal RNA". Lineage: Bacteria; Bacillati; Bacillota; Bacilli; Lactobacillales; Lactobacillaceae. The record is from RNAcentral.